UAGGUCACACGGACGACAAAUCACUUUAACAUAGAAAGGAAAGAAGAGGAAGAGACAGGGGAAGUAAUGAAAAAUCCGAUAAUUCGAAAAUUAGAUUCAUAAAAAUAUACCAUGCUCGGCGUGUGUGAAUUAUAAAUGAUCGAAAAAGUUGGAGCAGUCAACGAAUCGAAAGGAUCAUAAAACAGCGGAAGAAAUCUCGAAGUGUCGAGGAGCAUGGUUCGGAGAAAGGGCACGAUCCUCGGCGACCACCAGCGUGCAGCAACCGUUUACUCAAUGGGAACUCCCGAAAAGAGUGGUGAAGAGAGAUGAAGAGAGAGAGAGAGAGAGAGAGAGAGAGAGAGAGAGAGAGAGAGAGGACAACGGAUGGAAAAAGCGGGAGAAAGAGAGAACGCCGAUACUGGAUUCUUCCAUGAAUUUUCCAACAAUUUUGCGCCGCAGCUGCGAAGCUUGCACUAAAAAAGAGCGCGUUGAAUUGAAUUGUCACUAUGUGAUCCGCGCCAUGACCCGUGUAAUUUAAUUCGUCUCGAUCAAGAUCAAUUUGAAUCGGCGACAAAAAAAAAGCGUAUUUUAUAUAAAGAAUGAAACAGUAUGUGUCGGAAAAGUCGCGAACCGUUCGUCCUUUGGUACGCAAUAUCAUAAACGAGAGUUUCGAUUCUUUUAAAUUUAAAAGGUAUUUAAAACAAAAAAUAAAGAGGGACAAAUAAAUAUGAAAUCUAUACGGGAGUUGGCAAAUUCAAUUUGCUUAAUUGGUCGAGGCGAGUUUUGAUAAAAAUUGGCAAACAAGAUAUGAUUAGUGCGAAAGUGCCGCUUCGCGAGGAUUAGUGCUGCAACCUUUUGUUUGCUUCGCAACCGUUCGCCUCUCAUUAACGCUAAGAAUCAUUGUUUAAUCCUAUUCUACCUGUUCGGAUUAUCGGAUUAUUUAAUCGAAUUAAAAGGAUGGCAUCCUAAGACGACGAAACCACUUGCGUAUGGUUAUUUUCCAUUUAUAUUAGGUUGCCCGAAAAGCUCCUUUCGUUUUAUAAGGAAAUAAUAGACGCACAAUGUUUUUUCUUUUAUAUUAGUUUAUUGAAUUAUACACGAACAUAAUAAUAGAAAUAUGACGGAGUAGAUCAUACCUAAUUCGAUAAAAUAAUACAAAACAGAAAUUGUUGUUCAUCUAUUAUCAUCUUAUGAAACAAAAGAAACUUUUCGGACAACCUAAUAUAUAUUUUACUUUUUCUUUUAAGCGUUGUAUUCCUUAACUUACUUUCUUAUUGGCAAAUCAGAAAGAGGACAAGAUGAGUCUCGAAUAUAUAACAAGACGUCGUAGGAAUGAUAUUUUGCAUGCACUAAUGAUAAUUUAAAAAGUUGACGAUUGACGGUAUAACUCUCUUCAACGUUCGAUUAAUAAAUUUAUAAAUCGCAUUACUCGAUCCACUAAUAUUCAUUUAGACAUGAAAAAUCACAAACAGUAUACACUAUUAAUGCAUCGAUCUAAUAUUUAAAUGAGAUUAACGCUUUCAAUGAAGUUGUUUCGUCGUCGUCACGUUUCUGUGAAAAAAGAAUGUCACGAUUUUGAAAGAAAAAGACUAGGUAGGAAAAAUAUUUUGCAAAUCACGUUAAAAAUAUUGGAUAUCUUUAGAGGAAAAAAUUUGUAUGUGUUGAUAAAUGAAUCUAAGACGAAGGAGGUUAUAGGUGGCGACAAAAAUCGACGGUUAAUUGUUCUUUAACCGAACCGACACGUCGUGCUUUUGCUCGGUUUCUACCACUAGUCUCAACUCUAAAUCGUUCCUUAACUUCCCGCCUAAUGUAAUCAGCGUUGAAGUAAUUAAGGUCAUCAAACUCGAGAAGCGGUUUCCUUGGGCGGGAGAGAAGCGAACAGGCGUCCGCCACGUGUUAUCGAAUCAAAGUUUUCCUUUUUAUCGUUCGACCAACUUUUCCCUUCUGUUUCGCGUGUGUACCGCGACUUUCGACAGGGAAAACCGACAGUGUACUAUGGCGUUUGAUGCACGCGACGUAUAAUUUCUGCAUGAUCGUUGAUGGGGAUGAAUGGGAAUGGCGAUUGUAUUUCGUCGAUCUUUCGAAUUUUCUGGAAAUUUUUUUACAAAGUCUGAGAGCUUUAUAUAAAAAUACGAACAUUGACUGAUGUUCGAACCAUUAGAAAUGGAAUAGAAUAUGUAGAAAUGUUUCAUCCCGAUUCCAGAUUUUUCAUGUCAUACGACGUAUCUGGCAGGAACAAAAAGAUUUGAUAACAUAUUCGAAUGACGCUGAGCGAAAUAUUUUGCAUAAUUUGCAUCUACUUUUGUUACCAAUUAUUACUACAAUUACAAAAAUAAAUUAAUUUCAGUAGGAAAUAUUUCUUGGAAGGAAA
Molecule: long non-coding RNA, 2350 nt
Organism: Bombus huntii
Lineage: Eukaryota; Metazoa; Arthropoda; Insecta; Hymenoptera; Apidae
Exons: 2
Source: RefSeq, a predicted model, not a curated record